CCUACGGGAUGCAGCAGUCGAGAAUCAUUCACAAUGGGGGAAACCCUGAUGGUGCGACGCCGCGUGGGGGAAUGAAGGUCUUCGGAUUGUAAACUCCUGUCAUGUGGGAGCAAAUUAAAAAGAUAGUACCACAAGAGGAAGAGACGGCUAAUUCUGUGCCAGCAGCCGCGGCAAUACAUAGGUCGCAAGCGGUGUUCGGAUUCACUGGGCGUAAAGCGUGCGUAGGCGGGUUCGUAAGUCGUGUGUGAAAGGCGCGGGCUCAACCCGCAGACGGCAGAUGAUACUGCGAGACUAGAGUAAAGGAGGGGGAACCGGAAUUCGCGGUGUAGCAGUGAAAUGCGUAGAUAUCGGGAGGAACACUCGUGGCGAAGGCGGGUUCCUGGGCAUUAACUGACGCUGAGGCACGAAGGCCAGGGGAGCGAAAGGGAUUAGAUACCCGAGUAGUC
This 446-nucleotide ribosomal RNA is filed under the name uncultured bacterium. RNAcentral's name for it is "partial 16S ribosomal RNA". It matches the Rfam family "Bacterial small subunit ribosomal RNA", at positions 338 to 795 of the family's 1533-position model. The record is from RNAcentral.